UACGUAGGGGGCGAGCGUUGUCCGGAUUUAUUGGGCGUAAAGAGCGUGUAGGCGGCUUUACAGGUCCGUUGUGAAAACUCGAGGCUCAACCUCGAGACGCCGGUGGAAACCGUAAAGCUAGAGUCCGGAAGAGGAGAGUGGAAUUCCUGGUGUAGCGGUGAAAUGCGUAGAUAUCGUAAGGAAGACCAGUGGCGAAGGCGGGUCUCUGGACAGUUCCUGACGCUGAGGCACGAAGGCCAGGGGAGCAAACGGG
This 253-nucleotide ribosomal RNA is filed under the name uncultured bacterium. RNAcentral's name for it is "partial 16S ribosomal RNA". It matches the Rfam family "Bacterial small subunit ribosomal RNA", at positions 524 to 776 of the family's 1533-position model. The record is from RNAcentral.